Molecule: long non-coding RNA, 253 nt
Organism: Notothenia coriiceps (black rockcod)
Lineage: Eukaryota; Metazoa; Chordata; Actinopteri; Perciformes; Nototheniidae
Exons: 2
Source: RefSeq, a predicted model, not a curated record
AAGAAAAUGAUUAGAGCAGAUGUGUCCAAACGUUUUUCACAGAGAGCCACAUACAGACAAAUAUACGAAUGGCUGGGCCACUCCCUAGAGGUGAGGUAUAUUGCCUCAUAAGGUCAGUUAUAUGUAACCUCAGAGUGAUUAUAAUAAGGGGAAAUGUGAAGGGUAUAUUCCAAGCUUGUUAUGCAAAUAAGUAAUUGGGCCUUUUUUCUUAUCAGCUAAGAUUUGUUAGAAAAUGUUCCCAACUUUAAUUGAC